GAUGAACGCUAGCUACAGGCUUAACACAUGCAAGUCGAGGGGAAACGACAUCGAAAGCUUGCUUUUGAUGGGCGUCGACCGGCGCACGGGUGAGUAACGCGUAUCCAACCUGCCCAUCACUUGGGAAUAACCUUGCGAAAGUAAGACUAAUACCCAAUGAUAUCCCACGAAGGCAUCGGAAUGGGAUUAAAGAUUUAUCGGUGAUGGAUGGGGAUGCGUCUGAUUAGCUUGUUGGCGGGGUAACGGCCCACCAAGGCAACGAUCAGUAGGGGUUCUGAGAGGAAGGUCCCCCACAUUGGGACUGGGACCCGGGCCAAACUCCUACGGGAGGCAGCAGUGAGGAAUAUUGGACAAUGGGCGAGAGCCUGAACCAGCCAAGUAGCGUGCAGGAAGACGGCCCUAUGGGUUGUAAACUGCUUUUAGAAGGGAAUAAAGUGGGUCACGUGUGACUUUUUGCAUGUACCUUAUGAAUAAGGACCGGCUAAUUCCGUG
This 492-nucleotide ribosomal RNA is filed under the name uncultured bacterium. RNAcentral describes it as "partial 16S ribosomal RNA". It matches the Rfam family "Bacterial small subunit ribosomal RNA", at positions 28 to 507 of the family's 1533-position model. The record is from RNAcentral.